Molecule: ribosomal RNA, 440 nt
Filed under: uncultured bacterium
Lineage: Bacteria
Description: partial 16S ribosomal RNA
Rfam family: Bacterial small subunit ribosomal RNA
Source: RNAcentral
CCUACGGGAGGCAGCAGUAGGGAAUAUUGCGCAAUGGGGGAAACCCUGAAGCAGCAACGCCGCGUGGAGGAUGAAGGUUUUCGGAUCGUAAACUCCUUUUGUCAGAGAAGAUAAUGACGGUAUCUAACGAAUAAGCACUGGCUAACUCCGUGCCAGGAGCCGCGGUAAUACGGAGGGCGCAAGCGUUACUCGGUAUGACUGGGCGUAAAGAGCGCGUAGGCGGGAUAGCAAGUCAGAUGUGAAAGCCUAGGGCUUAACCAUAGAAAUGCGUGUGAAACUGUUAUUCUAGAGUAUGGGAGAGGAUGGUGGAAGUCUUGGUGUAGGGGUAAAAUCCGUAGAGAUCAGGAGGAAUACUGAUUGCGAAGGCGACCAGCUAGAACAUAACUGACGCUGAUGCGCGAAAGCGUGGGGAGCAAACAGGAUUAGAUACCCCAGUAGUC